UGUAGCUGACCUAUGGGUGUGCAAACCUCAGUAGAAUAGCAGUCUUUUGUCAUUAUAGAUAACUAUGGUUUUCACUGUGAUGCCUUUUCAAAAAUGCCUCUUCAGGAAGACUUAUAAAAAGGACUUUUGGAUAAAUACAAGUUUCUGAUUUUCAUACCAUACUGCUAAACUGGUCUACAGGUAUAAAGUAGACACUUUCCAAAGAAGAACAAGGAAGACAAAUCUCAACAUUUGGAAUCCUGGCAGUGAUGGCAGUCACUCCCAGAUGAUCCACGUGAUGAAGCAGUUAGAAUGAUCACCACCUAUUUCCCACAAGAUUGUGUAAUGGACAUUGACUGGGGUCACUGACAGUCUGGCAUCUUCUCAGUCUGCCAGUUUUCUGAAUAAAGUCAUUCCUUGCCUCAA
This is a long non-coding RNA of Odocoileus virginianus texanus, 405 nucleotides long. RefSeq lists it as uncharacterized. Lineage: Eukaryota; Metazoa; Chordata; Mammalia; Artiodactyla; Cervidae. The record is from RefSeq and is a predicted model, not a curated record.